CACAUCUCACUAGAGGGACCUGGUUUAAAAGAGUCAAGUAUUCGCCUAUUGGGUGCAGAGAAAGUGAUGUAGAAAUAUGGAGCAGUAUCUGUGGAAACCGACAUAUAUAAAAAAAAAUCAGAUGCUGGCAGGGAGCUGUCCCCGAGCCUUCACCCAGGUGUUUAUUGAGAGCUGCAGGACAGACAUUGCAUAUUUCUGUAUCACACACACAGCUCGGGGAUUUAUUCCUGCCUCUCCAGCAUCUCAGGAGCUGUGAUAUAUUGUGCAUAUUACAGCCAUAGGAUGCUCAGAAAACCCCUCCAUCCUGGCUGUGAAUGGUACAUUCCUCAGACUGUGAUUCCCAACUAAAUCAGCCCUGUGCAUCGCCUUCCAAUAUCGCUGGCAGGUCUGGAGCUACCCAUCCUACAGCUAUUGUCUGAGGGUUUGCAGUUCAUCCAUCAUUUGAUAGCCAGACAGGGUCCACUAUACCACCAGAAAUGGAAGGUGUGAGCAGCAACAGGGCAAUGUCCUACAGCAGAUGGAGCUAUGACAGGUACGGUGCAUCAUGUAUCAGUGAUAUAUGUUUAACCCUUAAUUAUGACAAUAUCAUAUUUUGCUGGAACAGUGAAAAGGGUUAAUGCACAGG
Non-coding RNA from Pelobates cultripes (western spadefoot toad), 625 nucleotides. Lineage: Eukaryota; Metazoa; Chordata; Amphibia; Anura; Pelobatidae. The record is from the annotation of a GenBank genome assembly.